AUUAAUUAUUUAAGUGUAUCCGGUGUAUUCAUAUGGCUGUACAUGGUGGUGAAAUACAGAACGUAAAAACUGUAUCUGAGUGAAUCAAUAGAUAUGAAACUCCAAAACCUAUUUAAUAACAGGAUGAACGUAUCCUCCUCUGAAGGGAUCCUUUUCAGAGAAAAAAGAAAAGCUAAAGCAAAAUGGCACAAACGUGAAAACAGAAAACAUGGAAAGGAAAUAAAAAGUAAAAUAAAAGAUCAUAAUAACAACGAAUUCUCAAAAUUCAUAGAUUAACACUCUCUGCACAUGAGAAUACCGAUUAUUCCCUAUCGAAAGCCAUGAACAAAAUGAAGAAACCAGUAAAACUAUUCUCAGCAAUCAGAAAAACAGACAACACAUGGGCCAGAAACAACGAAGAGCAAGUCGAAGAAUUAUCCAACCACCUUUGUAACGCAUUUACACAUAAUAUUAACAACAGUACCACCAAUUGUCAUACAGACAUAGAUGUGCAAAAUACUAGUACCUCAACUGACAAGCACUAUACCAUACCUGGUACAACUGCUCAAGAAGUUAGAAAUAUAAUCAAGAAAACAAGAAACAAUAAAGCACCAAGAAUCGACCUAAUCAAUGGUAAAAUCUUGAAAUGACAAUAAUAUGCAAUACAAUUUUAAGAAUUCAAUAUUUUUCUACUCUAUUGAAACCAGUACAGAUCAUAAUGCUACCUAAGCCAGGCAAACACCCACAGCAAACUGCACCUUACAGACCAAUAUCACUACUUCAUGUGUUUUGCAAAAUACUAGAGAAAAUAUUAUAUGAUCGCCUGAAAUCAACGAUAGAGGAAGAAAAAUUAAUGCCAGAUCGCCAAUUUGGAUUCAGAAACAAACACUCCACCACGGAGCAAAUGCACAAGCUUGUCAAUGAAAUUUUACUAGCAAUAAAAAAGAAACAAUACUGUACAGUCCUCUUCAUGGACAUUGUGAAAGCAUCUGGCAAAGUGAAUCAUGAAAGCCUCUUACAAACAAUCAAAAACAUUUCCCAGAACAAAUCUACCACUUACUCAAAUCGUAUCUAAGCAAUAGAACCUUUGUAGUAAAAAUAAAGGACACAUAUUCUGCGGUUAAAGACAUUAAGGCUGGGGUACUGCAAGGAAGCGUCUUAGGACCAAUAUUACAUACAAAACCCAUAUCAAAGGAAGGCUAAGAAGAAAACAUCCCACCGACCUGGUUAAAGAAAUAUAAUAGGCAAGCCGUAAGCUUUACUUAAAAUCGUACUUACACAUCUAUUUAAUCAAUCUUAAAAUACAAAUAUUAUAUGUUUAUAUUCUUAUAUAUUCGCGGGAGGAUGUGCGCAGGUACCAUGUUGUCCUGCUGAAUUGUAGCCAAUCAACGAACAGUGUUGUAAGCAAUUCGAAAUAAUAACGGUUGACCGACACGAGGCUCCGCACAGUCGGUCUGUGGAUUCGCACGUGGUGAUAUGUUCGUCGUGUUAAAUAAUGUCUACAAUGUGGAUAUAUAUCAGUUAGUAAUGAAUGCUAAACAAAGAAUUACAGAGUUAAUCUGUUAAAUUUUGAUAGAAGAAAAUAUAUAAAUACAAAAGAUGCAACACUUGAUCGAUCAUUGUUUUAUUUAAGAAUAAAUAAAGGUAGCACCCAUGUAUAGAUGUAUAUAUAGAUUAUUAUGGAAUCCGAGGAUUGAACUGCGAAGAUUGUUUCAAAUGUAUUCCAGCAAGAGUUAAUUAUAUCCAUAUUGGUCAUAUGUCACUGUUACAUUUCAUAAAUUAAAUUGGUCUUCAAAGUCUCUGGAUCUCCAAAACCUUGUGCAUGGAUUUCGUGUUAUUCAAAUAAACCUAUUCUCCUGUAAGGUAAAUCAUUAUAAAUCUUCUCUUAUGUUGGUAUGGUGAGUCUCUUUUUAUUAUCUUUAUUACGAAAUGUAUGUAAUCAUGCGUUCUCCUUUUUAUUAUGACGGAUUUAAAUGAUGUACUGCAUGCCUUUACCAACGAAUGCUUACAAAUGGCCAUGAUGCUGCUCUCAAUGCGAUAAGCGCUGUAUUAAAAAUAUAAUUAAAAACAUCAGACCAGCGGAGUGAGAUCUCUAUUUGUAACGUGCCGCCUGCGUAUAGAAAGGAGUAAAAAUCACCGUGGACUCGUCGCGGUUAGCGGUUGAACUCCAAUUUGAAAUUGUUUAUGUCAUGCUGUUAGCGCCAAUCUGUUAACGCCCAACUAUUAACGCCAAUCGUCGCAACCUUGGGUUCGCAGGUUGAUUGCGCCAUUUCCUUUAGCAGAUGUUUUCCUAUUUUUCUUCGGGUAACUAAUCAGUUACCCGAUUUUAUUUAUUUCUUUUUUGGAAUUCUUUGGUAUAUAGUUUACAUAAAAAUAACAUAGUUCUAAAAAACGUUCUCUUUGUCCAACGAACUCCCGAUUCCUAUGCAAUCUCCCCUGGUUAUCUGGCGCACGCGUAACAUUCACGUACCGUUGCAUGCGUUGCCAUUCCUAUUCGUAUCCUUCUUUUUAUACUUGAAUACUUUAUUUGAAUAUAGAAUUAUAGAAAACGUUUAAGAAUACAUAAAUACAGAAAUAUAAAAGAUAUAAAGAUAUAAAAAUAAAAAAAUACAAAACUAUAAAAAUUACAGAAACUCUGAUUAAACAUUGGUACUUAUAUUUUACGCUCGUUUUGUAUUACACAUACAUUUUUUAUAUUAUAUACGUGAACCAAAAUAGAAUGUACAAAGUAUAUUUUAUAUAACAUGUUUCAUAUCUGAUUCUUUUCUUAAUCAUCGCAUUUGAUCACAGACAUUUUCCUUUCGCAAUUUCCACAGACUUCUGAACCUUUACCCAGCUGCAUAUCAUUUUUAUUUUCCUCUUUUUCUUUUCUCCCCCUCAUACGAGGCAUGAUCAAAAAGAUCGUUGAAUUUUUUUCUUAUUUGAGAAAAUAUUUAUUUGUUCGUCUAUAUUUAAGUUGUUCCCUUUGAAUAUAAUAUGUUUUUGCCAGCGUGUCUUCCGGUCAUUAACACAUUUCUGAAAGCACUUUCUUCUAUAGUGCAUGUUAAUCGAUAAGUUUUAGAGUCGGUAUUUAUUGAUUCACUCAGAUUAGAUUUGUAUAUUCUAUAUUUCACCACCAAGUACAAACAUGCGAACACACUGGAUAUACUGAGAUAAUUAACACAUGGCCGACGUCUAAAAUAAGAAAGUUAGAAGUCGUACCAACUUAGCUUGUAGGAACUAACGAUCAUACCAACCCACUAUAUCCUCCCUUUUGAUCAUAGUUUCUACAAGUCCCAUAGCUUUGGUAAAACGCUGAGUCUUAAUCUUAUUUAAACCUUUGGUGAGAAUAUCUGCAAUAUUCUCAGAACUCGGCACGUAGACAUAAUCUAGUAUUUCUUUUGACACGCAAUUUUUAACGUAAAAAUAACGCACUUGAACGUGUUUAGGCCUUUCUGCGACUAUCUCGUCCUUGGACCAUGAAAUGGCUCCAAUAUUACCACAGAAGAUUUUGCAUGGGCGAGGACAAUGUGAUAGUUGACCCAACUCCCUUAACAGCAAGGAUAUCCAGACAGUUUCUCUUGCUGCCUGUUGCAUCGCUACAAACUCUGUCUCACACGUCGACUGAGAUAUUAUUGGUUGUUUCUUCGACAACCACUCCUAGAUUUUCUAUCUACAACACAGCCCGCAAAGUCAGAAUCUAGGGCUACGAUUCCUAAUAUUUGUAGUGCGGAUAUGCCAUAUCCCUUCAAGGAAUUUAUACGUCGCUCAAAUCGCAGGGUACUGAUUUGCAUUUCCAACAUAUCGAGGUCGGCUUUAUAUUGAUUAAAAUUGUGAGUUACUCUUGGAGCUGUCUCUAAUAUUUUCUCUAAUAUUGGAACGUCUGUUCCUUCGAAGCUGUAUACACUAUUCUUAAUUCUGGUUUCGUAAGAGAUAUUUUUAUGUGAUCCCCCUAUCUUUAUAAUAUUGUGAUCGUAUGUGAUUAUGUACCCGGCUUUACUGCUAAUUAAACUAGGCUGCCUAAUUUCCAGGAUUUUGUGUGUCUUACAUAGUACGUCGAUUUGCACAUUUUUUCUAGGAAUAAUAAUGUAAUGGUUUUCUGUCUGUGAAGGUACGAACGUCAAUCCUUCCAAUUUGAAGACAGCAGUCGGGCAAGUCCUGAUUGUCUGUUGAUUAUUAAUUAAUUCUGACCUGCAUUCAGGUGAGUUCAUUCUAUUAUGACUUGGUUGAGUUCUUUUACAAAUGUGGAUGAUUGCUGUUCGUUUACAAUAUUUAUCCAAGUAGGGACUAUCGACAAAGGUGUAUUGUUCUGAGUUGGUUAAUAUCAAGUCAGUUUCUAUUACAGACGCAAUGAAUACAGAGUUUUGUUUGGAAGGUAUCGGAUAAAUCUUAGUCAUUUUCCAUUCGUUGUUUUCUAAAACCGGCAUAGUUAUCGUAUAUAUAAGUUUGUUAUCUCUUAUCCAUAAUUUUAAUUUACUUAGAUCUAGGAUUAGUUGAAAGUUUUGAACUGAAGGUUCGAUACGGUUAGUCAUAAAGCUUUGUCUCGUUAGUUGGUCAAGUGUUUUUAAGAAUUGUUCAGGUUCUAUAACUUGUGGAUUUAUGAUUCCUUGUUUUCCUAACGUGAUAGUUUUAAAAAUUUCGUUGAUGUUAACAUGGAGUUCCGAUAUGGUAAAUUCAGUUUGAAUUACUAGGGAGACUAAUAUUUCGUUUCUGUCAUUGUGGUUUUCAAUUUUGUGUGUAUGGUUGGCAAGGUUUUCAAGUUGAUCGAGAUCUGUUUUGGUGUCGUCUAGCACGCGUUUGAUAAGUGCGGUUUGGUCACUAAGGAUUGUUUUCAUUUUGUUGUUGGAGUCAAAUAAUGUGUCGAUGUUUUCGUUAACGAGUUUUAGGUCAUUUUCGUCGAGAGUUCCGAAUAAAGUUUUGGAUGCUGAACCUAUGACAUUGAGUAAUCCGCGUUUGUUUCUAUAAUGCAAUAAUAAUUUAAGUUGCCGAGUCAGGUUUUGAAGAUUUCUAUACUUAGAUUUUAGGCUGCUUAUUUCUGGUGUGUGAGCGCAAGGUGGUUUACAUUGACGGUCUAUUAAAUCUAUUACGCGUUGUAAUCUAUUAACUUGAUCAAUUGGGUCGUUAAGCCCUACUAUAAGGGUGAUAUCUAUUUGUUCGUUGUACAGAUAGCAAUCGUCGAUGUGUUCCAAGAAAAUGUUGGCGUAAUUUAGUGGUUUUACUACUAGAUCGCUUUUAAUGUAUUCAAGUGUUAUAAUGAUCCAUGUUAUGGUCUUCUUCCUGAAAAAUAUGGUUUUAGCCUGUUACCGUGGAUUCUGUGUGUGGCCGUUGGAAUAUUCGAUAAGAUAGGUGGGUGGAUUGGAGGAGAGGAUUUCUGCAGGUCCUAGCCAUUCGUGAUCUAGUUUGUUGGUUUUGUGAUCGUUAUGUACCCACACUUUGUCUUUUACUCGGAAUAUAGUUUGUGUUUUAAUAAUUUUUCGAAUCCGAUCCCUUUGAUACCGCCUCUUGUUUGAUUCAGUGAUUUCUCUUGCUUUCGUUAUAUAAGCGUUAUGUCGGUUUCUCCAGAGUUUAAAUAAUUGAUCUUUAGUUAGGGUGGGGGUGUUUGAUAUUGAGGAAGGCAUGUUAGCUUGUCGUCCAAAUGUUAGUUCGAAUGGGGUAUGUCCGGUCGUUUCGUGUACUCAAGUAUUGUAUCCCAUGCAUGUUAGUUUUAAAUUUUCGUUCCAGUCGUUUUGUCGGUCGGUUGUACAAGUUCGAACGAGAUCUUUUACCACAGCAUGUGUUCGUUCAAGAGAUCCGUUAGAUUGCGGGUGGAAGAAAGUGGUUUUCACGUGUCGAAUCUUGAAAGCCUCUUCAAAUGUAUCCAUCAGUUUACAUUUUCGUCCCAUGUCCGUGAGGAUACUUUUCGAUGCAGAGAAUAUAUAUACAUAGUGAUCCAGGAGUUCGUUAAUGAUCGAGUUGGCUGUUUGGUCUUUUAAAAGUAUAAGAACGAGAUAUUUGGUUAAUUGAUCUUGGAUAGAUAGGAUAAAUUGGUUGCCUCGUCUGGUUUUGGUUAGGGGUCCGAAUAUGUCCAUUGCGAUUUUAUCAUUGGGGUUAACGGGUGUGUCAGUCAUUACGGGUUACUCUUUGGCCCUUUUUUUUUUUCUUUUUUUUUUUUUUUUUCUUUUUUUUUUUUGCGUGAGGAGGGAAAAAUGCUGUUACGCAUGCCCAGUGACCCGCAUCACUGGGUUAUGUGGGACUCGGGCGGAUGUUGUUGCCAUACCCACUAAAGACCCCUCCUCCUUCUUCCUCUGCUUUGAGGACAGACAACCCCGGUAAUACCUGUCGGCAGUCAUCAGGGUUGUCCUUUCAUGCCCUGUUGUAUCUUCUUCUUCGGGCAGUUACUGCUCGCGUCAUCUUCUCAGCCAGUUCAAAUACGCGGCUUGGGCGUUGGCCUGCUCUUUGGCCCUAAUACGGUUUAAUUUUUCUCGUUGGCAGGUUUUGCAGUUUUGUAUAAAUUCUGUGACGUCUUGCUCUAGGUUUGUCCAGUGAUGGUGUUCUUGUAUUCGUUUCACGGUGCGGUGUAUACCUAAGUGUCCUACUAUUUCGUUAUGAUUUUCGCGCAGUAUAGUUUGUUUUUGUUCGUUAUCGUAGUCUACCGGCGGAUCUUGUCCAAA
Molecule: long non-coding RNA, 6608 nt
Organism: Bombus pascuorum
Lineage: Eukaryota; Metazoa; Arthropoda; Insecta; Hymenoptera; Apidae
Exons: 4
Source: RefSeq, a predicted model, not a curated record